AUGUCGUCAGCCCGUGCAGUAAGGUGUUGGGUUAAGUCCCGCAACGAGCGCAACCCCUACCAUUAGUUGCCAUCAGGUUAUGCUGAGCACUCUAAUGGGACUGCCUACGCAAGUAGUGAGGAAGUGGGGAUGACGUCAAGUCCGCAUGCCCUUACGCCUAGGGCUACACACGUGCUACAAUGGGUGUUACAAUGGGUUGCAAGACCGCGAGGUUUAGCCAAUCCCCUAAAGGCACCCCCAGUUCGGAUUGGAGUCUGAAACCCGACUCCAUGAAGCUGGAAUUGCUAGUAAUCGCGGAUCAGCACGCCGCGGUGAAUACGUUCAAGGGCCUUGUACACAACGCCCGUCAAGCCGUGGAAGCCGGGGGUACCCGAAGCCAGUAUCCUAACCGCAAGGAGGGAGCUGUUUAAGGUAAAACCGGUGACUGGGGCUAAGUCGUAACAAGGUAA
This 449-nucleotide ribosomal RNA is filed under the name uncultured bacterium. Its description in RNAcentral is "bacterial SSU rRNA". It matches the Rfam family "Bacterial small subunit ribosomal RNA", at positions 1049 to 1499 of the family's 1533-position model. The record is from RNAcentral.